GUGGGCGCUGGGUCAGAAGAGAUGCCACCUCACACCGCGCGAGAGAAGCAGCACGCGGCGCAGCCCGGGUCGCCAUGGAAACCACGUUGGCAGGGCUGACCCGGGGCAGACCCGGGCUGGUGGGUGGGGUUCCGCAGUGGCUCGUGCGGAGACGCUAAAGCGGCGGCUGGGGGCUGCGAGAAAGGCCACAAGAAGGACUGCGGAUUCGGGGUUCCCAUGACCCACAGCUCGGGACCCGGGAAGGGCAACAGAAAGUCGCUUCCCAGCCCACAAUCUCCAAAUCUGCCAGAUGAUCCGAACCACGUGGUUAGACACCAGAACUCCAGGUGCUCACUCCUGCUGGCUCGCUAAAUCAUAGUGUCCGCGGUGAGGACCCAGAAUCUGCAUUUAACCAGAGUACAGUAUCUUUAUAUAAAGUCCAGGAUGUUCGGAAGCAAGCAUAAAAGCAGUGGUGAUGUAGUUGGUACUGGCAAGAGACACCAGGAAUUGGAGGCCCAGAGAAAGGAUGAAGAGAGACAAGAGGAAGAAAUAACUGAAGAACUGAAGAGGUUCCUGAUGCAGGAAAUGGCAAGGGGAUUUUAUUUGAGGAGGCAUUGUUAGUUUUUAAGGUACAGGACCUGGACUUAGAACGGUACACGAAGGCUGCAGCAGCCAUCCAGAAUGUAGUCCAGCACUACUGUGUCAUCUAUGAUGAGUAAAACAGAGCUACUAGCCAGCCAUCACUGGAUUGUUUCUUCAAGAGGACAGGCAGAAUUGAAUCCAGCAAGGAGCCAGAAUCUGUUCCAUCAACGUCAGAUGGACCUUCAGCUUUUAUUUAGAGGGAAGGAACCUAGCAGAACCAGCAUCCCAUAUUAUCCCAGCCAUUUCUGUCUACCUUGCCCUGUUCUACCCAGAGGUGUGGCUACAUUUAAAGAGGAAGAAACAAAGGGAAGCAGAGCCAAUCCAAGGAUUCUGGGAGAAACUGCCCAAGAAGUGUGUUCUUGUUCCAGGCACUGUGCUCACAGUCCCGACAGCAAUAGCACAUCAUUCAGAUGCCCUUGA
This 1041-nucleotide long non-coding RNA is filed under the name Capra hircus (goat). RNAcentral describes it as "lncRNA (ENSCHIG00000008024.1)". Lineage: Eukaryota; Metazoa; Chordata; Mammalia; Artiodactyla; Bovidae. The record is from RNAcentral.